AAGUCGUAACAAGGUUAAAUAUCGAUGUAGGUAAACCACCUCCGAAGCCUUGAACUCCAGUCUAUUCUUAAUAGGCUACACCGGUCUGUUGCUAGGCUUAACAUUUAUAUUAGUUAAAUGUUUAACUAGCAGUCGUUGAUACGAUUCACAGGUCAAACACCGGUGGUGAGCAAAUUUCGCGAAUUUAGAUAUGAUCGGUCAGUCUUUGUUAAGAAGUUUGAUAAACGUUCCGUAGGUGAACCUGCGGAAGGAUCAUUAAUGAGUUAGGGUCUUU
RNAcentral lists this unclassified non-coding RNA (274 nucleotides) under Cladophialophora sp. Its description in RNAcentral is "partial contains small subunit ribosomal RNA and internal transcribed spacer 1". The record is from RNAcentral. Lineage: Eukaryota; Fungi; Ascomycota; Eurotiomycetes; Chaetothyriales; Herpotrichiellaceae.